UGUUUCGGCAAGGGGGUCAUCCCGACUUACCAACCCGAUGCAAACUGCGAAUACCGGAGAAUGUUAUCACGGGAGACACACGGCGGGUGCUAACGUCCGUCGUGAAGAGGGAAACAACCCAGACCGCCAGCUAAGGUCCCAAAGUCAUGGUUAAGUGGGAAACGAUGUGGGAAGGCCCAGACAGCCAGGAUGUUGGCUUAGAAGCAGCCAUCAUUUAAAGAAAGCGUAAUAGCUCACUGGUCGAGUCGGCCUGCGCGGAAGAUGUAACGGGGCUAAACCAUGCACCGAAGCUGCGGCAGCGACACUAUGUGUUGUUGGGUAGGGGAGCGUUCUGUAAGCCUGUGAAGGUGUACUGUGAGGUAUGCUGGAGGUAUCAGAAGUGCGAAUGCUGACAUAAGUAACGAUAAAGCGGGUGAAAAGCCCGCUCGCCGGAAGACCAAGGGUUCCUGUCCAACGUUAAUCGGGGCAGGGUGAGUCGACCCCUAAGGCGAGGCCGAAAGGCGUAGUCGAUGGGAAACAGGUUAAUAUUCCUGUACUUGGUGUUACUGCGAAGGGGGGACGGAGAAGGCUAUGUUGGCCGGGCGACGGUUGUCCCGGUUUAAGCGUGUAGGCUGGUUUUCCAGGCAAAUCCGGAAAAUCAAGGCUGAGGCGUGAUGACGAGGCACUACGGUGCUGAAGCAACAAAUGCCCUGCUUCCAGGAAAAGCCUCUAAGCAUCAGGUAACAUCAAAUCGUACCCCAAACCGACACAGGUGGUCAGGUAGAGAAUACCAAGGCGCUUGAGAGAACUCGGGUGAAGGAACUAGGCAAAAUGGUGCCGUAACUUCGGGAGAAGGCACGCUGAUAUGUAGGUGAAGUCCCUCGCGGAUGGAGCUGAAAUCAGUCGAAGAUACCAGCUGGCUGCAACUGUUUAUUAAAAACACAGCACUGUGCAAACACGAAAGUGGACGUAUACGGUGUGACGCCUGCCCGGUGCCGGAAGGUUAAUUGAUGGGGUCAGCGCAAGCGAAGCUCUUGAUCGAAGCCCCGGUAAACGGCGGCCGUAACUAUAACGGUCCUAAGGUAGCGAAAUUCCUUGUCGGGUAAGUUCCGACCUGCACGAAUGGCGUAAUGAUGGCCAGGCUGUCUCCACCCGAGACUCAGUGAAAUUGAACUCGCUGUGAAGAUGCAGUGUACCCGCGGCAAGACGGAAAGACCCCGUGAACCUUUACUAUAGCUUGACACUGAACAUUGAGCCUUGAUG
This 1242-nucleotide ribosomal RNA is filed under the name Escherichia coli. RNAcentral's name for it is "partial 23S ribosomal RNA". It matches the Rfam family "Bacterial large subunit ribosomal RNA", at positions 911 to 2136 of the family's 2925-position model. RNAcentral also lists the same sequence under 1 other name. The record is from RNAcentral. Lineage: Bacteria; Pseudomonadati; Pseudomonadota; Gammaproteobacteria; Enterobacterales; Enterobacteriaceae.